GUUUCAUUGAUGCAAUAGGAAUGCGAUCAGACUCUCGGAACAGUGACCCCUUACGGCUUUUUAUACACUCUACACUUCAUGACAGCUGGAGAUGCAACGUUCCAACCAUUUGCCAGGCAUUUUGUAAAUAUUCCUUCGCGUUCCAGAAUUAAUCCAUUUUCUGAGGAUAUUUUUGAGUUUCUUUUUGAUCCCAAUACUCUAAUGUUGGAUCAAUCCAUUUGAAUCGCGGACUAUCACUGUGCAAGAUGAUUAUGUUUU
RNAcentral lists this unclassified non-coding RNA (258 nucleotides) under Hevea brasiliensis (rubber tree). The record is from RNAcentral. Lineage: Eukaryota; Viridiplantae; Streptophyta; Magnoliopsida; Malpighiales; Euphorbiaceae.